CCCUUAGAUGUUCUGGGCCGCACGCGCGCUACACUGAUAUAUUCAACGAGCCUAUAGCCUUGGCCGACAGGCCCGGGUAAUCUUUGAAAUUUCAUCGUGAUGGGGAUAGAUCAUUGCAAUUGUUGGUCUUCAACGAGGAAUUCCUAGUAAGCGCGAGUCAUCAGCUCGCGUUGACUACGUCCCUGCCCUUUGUACACACCGCCCGUCGCUCCUACCGAUUGAAUGGUCCGGUGGAUAAUUCGGACUGCGGCAUUGACCGGUUCCCGAUCGUUGCUGCGGAAAGUUUAGUGAACCUUAUCACUUAGAGGAAGGAGAAGUCGUAACA
This 325-nucleotide ribosomal RNA is filed under the name uncultured eukaryote. RNAcentral's name for it is "partial 18S ribosomal RNA". It matches the Rfam family "Eukaryotic small subunit ribosomal RNA", at positions 1470 to 1796 of the family's 1831-position model. The record is from RNAcentral.